Molecule: unclassified non-coding RNA, 18 nt
Filed under: Dictyostelium discoideum
Lineage: Eukaryota; Evosea; Eumycetozoa; Dictyosteliales; Dictyosteliaceae
Source: RNAcentral
GUGUCACUGCCCUAUCAA